UUUCCGUAGGUGAACCUGCGGGAGGAUCAUUCAUAAUAAAGUGUUUUAUGGCACUUUUUAAAAAUCCAUAUCCACCUUGUGUGCAAUGUUAGAUCUCGUCAAUCUUGGCGAGAUUUUUAUACAUCAACUCAUUCUUUAACUAAUUUGUCUGAAAAAUAUUAUGAAUACUUAAUUCAAAAUACGACUUUCAACAACGGAUCUCUUGGCUCUC
RNAcentral lists this unclassified non-coding RNA (211 nucleotides) under plant metagenome. Its description in RNAcentral is "partial contains small subunit ribosomal RNA, internal transcribed spacer 1, and 5.8S ribosomal RNA". The record is from RNAcentral.